UGGAGUUGCCAUGGCCACAACUAUGAAUGACCUGUAUGUUUUCCAAGAUCAGUUGUGCUAAUUUAACCAUGGGUACCUAACAACAGUCUAAAAUUAUGAUCUCUUUUCAGCAAACUAUUAUAUGCACAAUAGUUGGAUAUUUAUCACGGCCUCAACUAGACAACUACUGUUGUGGAACAUCAUUAGAUUACUAUGUAGCAUGUACUGAACAAAAAUCUGAUUUAUUUUGAUUUUAGAAUACUUACUGGAGUCCUAAAGAAAUUGGUAGCUCAUGGUGCUACCAUUGCUGCUGCUGAUCAUACUGCACCAACCUCGCCUGCUUGAAGCGGAGAACCGCAACCUCACGGCCUCAGCCACUCUGAGGUCUCCGGAGUACCUCACCAGGCCAACCCGUGACUUCACCUUCUUCGCGCCUGAGUACAUUAUAAGCAGACAAUUGAACAAACUCAAUAAUAAAUAUGUCAUGUCAGAGAGUUCAGGUACUAAUAAUACAAAUAAUAAUCAACUUCAAGAACACGUAUGAGGGCUAAAGUAUGGUAACACUUUCAGCAAGAGGUUGUGAUGAUAGAUGGUGUCCCCAAGACUCAAUGCAAAUAUUGUAGCUUAAGAUUGACAGCCACCAAAAAGUCAGGCAGAAGUCACCUUAUUAAUCACAUAGCCGAAUCAUGUCCAGCUAUUGAUGGUGCUGCUAGAAUCAACUUCCUUGCAACAAUUAAGAAACAGACUGGGGAAGGUUUCGUGUUUGAUCCCAAGAGAAGCUGGGAGCUAAUGGUCAAAUACUUCAUUCACGCAGAGGUGCCAUUCAAUAAAAUUGAGGAUCCUUAUUUUUUGGAGUGGGUGGAGUCCGUGCAGCCAACUUUCAAAGUUGUGGGGCGUCAAACACUUCAUGAUGAUGCCUUUAACUUGUAUGAGCAAAUGAGGGAAGACUUGCGUGCUGAAUUACAGUCUUGAUUCGCGUGUA
Molecule: non-coding RNA, 961 nt
Organism: Oryza sativa Japonica Group (Japanese rice)
Lineage: Eukaryota; Viridiplantae; Streptophyta; Magnoliopsida; Poales; Poaceae
Source: RefSeq, a predicted model, not a curated record